RNAcentral lists this ribosomal RNA (404 nucleotides) under uncultured bacterium. Its description in RNAcentral is "bacterial SSU rRNA". It matches the Rfam family "Bacterial small subunit ribosomal RNA", at positions 355 to 775 of the family's 1533-position model. The record is from RNAcentral.
UAAGGAAUCUUCCGCAAUGGACGAAAGUCUGACGGAGCAACGCCGCGUGCAGGAUGACGGCCUUCGGGUUGUAAACUGCUUUUAUUUGGGAAGAUUGUGACGGUACCAAAUGAAUAAGGACCGGCUAACUACGUGCCAGCAGCCGCGGUAAUACGUAGGGUCCAAGCGUUAUCCGGAAUCACUGGGCGUAAAGCGUGCGUAGGUGGAUUGUUAAGUGCAAUGCGAAAUCCUGUGGCUCAACCAUAUGGACUGUAUCGCAUACUGGCAAUCUAGAGGACAUGAGAGGCAAGUGGAAUUACCGGUGUAGCAGUGAAAUGCGUAGAUAUCGGUAGGAACACCAAUGGCGAAGGCAGCUUGCUGGCAUGUUUCUGACGCUAAGGCACGAAAGCGUGGGGAGCGAACAG